UUUGGAUGUUUUUCAAAAAAAAUUUUGAUAUGUGACAUACACGUGUCAACACAAAGAAGCUAUAGAAACGUCCAUCAUUGCCGGCGAACACGACGAGGAAUCAAAGCGACACCGUUUUCUUCUCCGGCCAGACAAUUAUUAUACCAUAUGACGACAGCGGUGCCUAGGGUUUCACCAGAAAACACCACGGGUCGCUGUUGUGCCACCGAAAGUUUCUCUAAACCCCAAUUCCAUUCUAUUCACCACCGCUAACCUGAUUUGGUCUUUUUUGUUGUAUAGUUUACCAAUACUCAAAUCGGAAUGCACUUACAGGAGAACAUCGUUACAGAGUAGGCGGCUGAGCCGAAAGUUAGGGUUCCGACGCGGUGGUUCUAGGGCGGCGACAUCGCCGCGGUUGUGAAGAUAACAGGCUACACAACCAUAGCAUUCAAGGGUAGACCAGCUUCACCCGCCUUUCGCAAAUUUUAUUAGCGUACUUUCGAACAUCAGAUGACUAGAAGAAAAGUUGCCCUUAUUCUUGGAGGAAGGUAGUAUGCUACAUAAAUCUUUUUGGCUGCAGCCUACUUUUCGUUCAUAUGAAUCAUGGGUGUUUAGAUCUGUAUACACUUGCAAUUUGUAAUUAAAUAUAUUAUCUAUCCUUCGUUUUGUUACUAAAUCUAAAUGCUAGGUUGCUGAUAAUUUAUUUGUACUUAGAUCUACUCAUAAUCACAAAAAAGCACUAAUUCCAUGACAUACUUUAUGACAUCUUCAUGGUUCAUUAAUAUUAAUUAAUUAAAAACUAAAUAUUAUCUCUAAAUCUUUUAAAUAACAAGUAUGUUAAUGGCAGCGAUGUGAAGAAAAAGGCAUUGCAAGUUGUGAUAUUGUUUUGAUAAAGUAUUUGGAGGGUAAGAAACAAGUUCAUCUUCUCCAACAAGUCGAUAAAAGUGGAGGGCAUUCUGGGCGAUAUCAAGUUAAUGGGUUACUGUCGGGUUAAAAAUAGAAAAAGAAUAUAAACAUUGAUUGGAAAACUUGCAAGAAGUUUGACUUGUAAUAUGUUGUUCUGUUGUUUUGGUUUAUGUUAUGCAGCCUUCUUCUAGCCCUUGCUGGGUGAAGGUGUUUGGUUUUGCACCACCUACUGAAAUUCAACCCCGUCCGUUGGCUGCCAAUGCAUUGGAUUUGAGGGAAUCUAUAACAAUUGGUAAAACCGCUCCGGAUAGUAUUAUAUCUCUUCCGUUUGACAUCUUGCUUUGACUUUGAUCACAAAACAGCUAGAUACUUUUUAUGUUGUAUCUUUUCCAUUGGACAUCUUGCUUUCACUUUGAUCACAAAACAGUCGAUAAUUGAAACAGGCUGAUGCAGACAGUCUCGCAGUGCAGUCGCAGAUAAGGCAUAUACUCUUAUGAGUUGUGACACUGCAAUCCAUUCCUUCGGUAUGGGUGAAUUAAUUAAUUAUUUUGUGACUCAAAUUUAGAUAGUUGACUAAAUUGUAUAUAGAUGUGUACAUUUGUUUGCAAUUUAAUAGAGAAGAAUUAGCAUGAUCUGCUUAAUGAAA
Helianthus annuus (common sunflower) is the source of this 1531-nucleotide long non-coding RNA. RefSeq lists it as uncharacterized. The transcript is spliced from 4 exons. NCBI's taxonomy places the organism in Eukaryota, Viridiplantae, Streptophyta, Magnoliopsida, Asterales, Asteraceae. The record is from RefSeq and is a predicted model, not a curated record.